Molecule: ribosomal RNA, 271 nt
Filed under: Speocera sp. 411 FL-2019
Lineage: Eukaryota; Metazoa; Arthropoda; Arachnida; Araneae; Ochyroceratidae
Description: partial large subunit ribosomal RNA
Source: RNAcentral
UAGAAUGAAAGGAAUAAUGAUUUAUCUACUGUCUCUUAUUAAUAGAUUCAAAUUAAACUCUUAGUAAAAAUACAAGAACCAAUAAGCAGGACGACAAGACCCUACCGAACUUCAAUUAAAAAUUUUACUGGGGCGGUUAAAAACUAAAUCUUUUCCCAACCCACUAAUCCAAGCUAUAAACGAAUAAAAACAAGUUACCGUAGGGAUAACAGCACAAUAAUUUACUAAAGCUCCUAUAAAAUAAGUUGAUUAUGACCUCGAUGUUGAAUUA